AGCAUGUGGUUAAUUCGAAGCAACGCGAAGAACCUUACCAGGUCUUGACAUCCCGAUGCUAUUUCUAGAGAUAGAAAGUUACUUCGGUACAUCGGUGACAGGUGGUGCAUGGUUGUCGUCAGCUCGUGUCGUGAGAUGUUGGGUUAAGUCCCGCAACGAGCGCAACCCCUAUUGUUAGUUGCCAUCAUUCAGUUGGGCACUCUAGCGAGACUGCCGGUAAUAAACCGGAGGAAGGUGGGGAUGACGUCAAAUCAUCAUGCCCCUUAUGACCUGGGCUACACACGUGCUACAAUGGUUGGUACAACGAGUUGCGAGUCGGUGACGGCGAGCUAAUCUCUUAAAGCCAAUCUCAGUUCGGAUUGUAGGCUGCAACUCGCCUACAUGAAGUCGGAAUCGCUAGUAAUCGCGGAUCAGCACGCCGCGGUGAAUACGUUCCCGGGCCUU
Molecule: ribosomal RNA, 444 nt
Filed under: uncultured Streptococcus sp.
Lineage: Bacteria; Bacillati; Bacillota; Bacilli; Lactobacillales; Streptococcaceae
Description: bacterial SSU rRNA
Rfam family: Bacterial small subunit ribosomal RNA
Source: RNAcentral